RNAcentral lists this ribosomal RNA (420 nucleotides) under uncultured bacterium. Its description in RNAcentral is "bacterial SSU rRNA". It matches the Rfam family "Bacterial small subunit ribosomal RNA", at positions 355 to 772 of the family's 1533-position model. The record is from RNAcentral.
UAAGGAAUAUUGGACAAUGGUCGCAAGACUGAUCCAGCCAUGCCGCGUGCAGGAAGACGGCCCUAUGGGUUGUAAACUGCUUUUGUACCAGAGAAAACCUAUCUACGUGUAGAUAGCUGAUAGUAUGGUAAGAAUAAGCAUCGGCUAACUUCGUGCCAGCAGCCGCGAUAAGACGAAGGAUGCAAGCGUUAUCCGGAUUCAUUGGGUUUAAAGGGUGCGUAGGCGGGCUUGUAAGUCAGUGGUGAAAUCUCUCAGCUUAACUGAGAAACUGCCAUUGAUACUGCAGGCCUAGAGUAUAGAUGACGUUGGCGGAAUAAGACAUGUAGUGGUGAAAUACUUAGAUAUGUCAUAGAACACCGAUUGCGAAGGCAGCUAACGAAACUAUAACUGACGCUGAGGCACGAAAGUGCGGGGAUCAAA